This is a transfer RNA of Folsomia candida, 82 nucleotides long. It matches the Rfam family "tRNA". From Rfam's summary of the family: Transfer RNA (tRNA) molecules are approximately 80 nucleotides in length. Their secondary structure includes four short double-helical elements and three loops (D, anti-codon, and T loops). Lineage: Eukaryota; Metazoa; Arthropoda; Collembola; Entomobryomorpha; Isotomidae. The record is from Rfam.
GCAAUCUUGUCCGAGUGGUUAAGGAGUUGGACUUGAAAUCCAAUGGGGUUUCCCCGCGUAGGUUCGAAUCCUGCAGAUUGCG